Molecule: ribosomal RNA, 446 nt
Filed under: uncultured prokaryote
Description: bacterial SSU rRNA
Rfam family: Bacterial small subunit ribosomal RNA
Source: RNAcentral
UGGGGAAUCAUGGUCAAUGGGCGAAAGCCUGAACCUGCGACGCCGCGUGAGUGAUGAAGGUCGUAAGAUCGUAAAACUCUUUUCAGGGAUCUUAAAGCCUGUCCGUCAACAACGGGCAGGUCUGACUCUCCCUGGAAGAAGCCCCAGCCAACUACGUGCCAGCAGCUGCGGUAAUACGUAGGGGGCGAGCGUUAUUCGGAAUUACUGGGUGUAAAGGGUAUUUAGGCGGCCCUUCAAGUCGCGCGUCAAAGUCCAGUGCUCAACGCUGGGUGUGCGCGCGAUACUGACGGGCUUGAGGGCUGGAGAGGUGAGCGUAAUUCCCGGUGUAGUGGUAAAAUACGUAGAGAUCGGGAGUAACACCAGCGGCGCAGGCGGCUCACUAGACAGAUUCUGGCGGUAAGCGGCGAAAGCGUGGGGGGCAAACAAGACUAGAAGCCGCUGUAGAC